CCUUCUAGAAAAAAAUUAGAGGUUGAGCCUGCCCAAUGCUUUUGUAAAUGGCUGCAGAAUUCAUAACUGUACUAAGGUAGCAUAAUAAUUUGCUCUUUCAUUGAGAGCUAGAAUGAACGGUUUGACUAAAUCUAAUCUGUCUCUAAUUAAAUUUUGGAAAUUGAACUGUGAGUAAAAAUGCUUACGUUUUAGAGAGGGACGAGAAGACCCUGUAGAACUUUGAAUCUUUUAUCAGAUUUUACCUGGGAAGGGGUGUGGAAAACUUUUUUUAAAAAAAAACCGAUUAGUUGAAACAGACGAUCCCGAACAGAAAAAAAGAAAAAGUUACUCUCAGGGAUAACAGCGUUAUUCUAGAUAAUUUAGCUCUUAUGGAUUAUUUGGUUUACGACCUCGAUGUUGAAUUAGGUCACCUUUUUGACGAAGAAAGCAUAAGAGAGACGUCGAGUCUGUUCGACUGUUGGAAAAACC
RNAcentral lists this ribosomal RNA (468 nucleotides) under Columbicola columbae (slender pigeon louse). RNAcentral's name for it is "partial 16S ribosomal RNA". It matches the Rfam family "Bacterial large subunit ribosomal RNA", at positions 1827 to 2596 of the family's 2925-position model. The record is from RNAcentral. Lineage: Eukaryota; Metazoa; Arthropoda; Insecta; Psocodea; Philopteridae.